RNAcentral lists this ribosomal RNA (369 nucleotides) under uncultured bacterium. RNAcentral describes it as "partial 16S ribosomal RNA". It matches the Rfam family "Bacterial small subunit ribosomal RNA", at positions 355 to 715 of the family's 1533-position model. The record is from RNAcentral.
UGGGGAAUUUUGGACAAUGGGCGCAAGCCUGAUCCAGCCAUGCCGCGUGCAGGAAGAAGGCCUUCGGGUUGUAAACCGCUUUUGUCAGGGAAGAAAUCUUCUGAGUUAAUACCUCGGGAGGAUGACGGUACCUGAAGAAUAAGCACCGGCUAACUACGUGCCAGCAGCCGCGGUAAUACGUAGGGUGCAAGCGUUAAUCGGAAUUACUGGGCGUAAAGCGUGCGCAGGCGGUUUUGUAAGACAGAGGUGAAAUCCCCGGGCUCAACCUGGGAACUGCCUUUGUGACUGCAAGGCUUGAGUGCGGCAGAGGGGGGAUGGAAUUCCGCGUGUAGCAGUGAAAUGCGUAGAUAUGCGGAGGAACACCGAUGG